RNAcentral lists this small RNA (922 nucleotides) under Arabidopsis thaliana (thale cress). RNAcentral's name for it is "ATSL170260". Lineage: Eukaryota; Viridiplantae; Streptophyta; Magnoliopsida; Brassicales; Brassicaceae. The record is from RNAcentral.
UGAGUAAAUCUCCCUUUAAAUCAUCAGUUUAUCAUUUUUUUCUUUAAAGCAUGAACUCUGAACCUAGUGAUUAAAAUCCUCAAUUCUAUGUUCAAGAAUUCUCGUUGACUAAGCCAAUUGAGUCACAAAUUCUUUAUUUUUGACUCCAUCAGUUGAUCUAGAGACAAGAGAUUACUUCGAAUUCAAAGAAGAUGAAAGAAUCCAAAUAAGAAGAGAGAAAGAAUCAGAAAUCGAUUUUGGGAGUCUAGGGUUUGUGAUUUGGAGAAUUUCUAACAAUGUGCCUUAAUUGGUUUAGUCAACGAAAAUUCGCGAUUAAAUAUUGAAACAACCCGACCCGAUUUUUUAAACAUAAUUAAAUAAUCCUAUAAAUAAUUAAUUAAACCAACCAAUGAAGCAACAUUUAAACAGCAAGUCAAAAAUAUUAUUUAUGAAUAAAUAAAUAAUUCAACCAACAAAACCAAGAAUGACUAACAAUCCUAACACAACCCUAACCGGAUUCCAAUAACCAAAACACAAAAAUAAACCAAACAAGUUCCUAGAUCAUCCUCUCUUCCUUGUCAUGAUUCCACGAUCACACUUUAUCUUUACUUGCACCAAAAAGAAAGAGAUGCGUAAGUAUUAACACAAAUACUUAAUGAGGCGAUCCUCCCAUCUACGAGCUAUACACACAAGCAAAUAAAAGGGAUAUAAUCACAAAUACAAACCAGUCAUUGAACAAUUCACCCAAAACAAAUCAUACAACUCAAUCGCUCAGAUAAGCUCAUGGUCACGCAUUCACCUUAACAAAUUGAUCCUAACAACAAUUAAACCCACGAGAGACUCUCUAUGCGUCUGAAACAGUCCAGAAACGUCCUACAACAAGUCACACAACCAAAAGCAACCUUGAAGCAAACUGGACAUGAAAAUCAGAAACAAACAGUCU